This is an RNA transcript of Neogale vison (American mink), 1416 nucleotides long. It is a transcript of the gene named chromosome 2 C1orf109 homolog, with no coding region annotated. The transcript is spliced from 6 exons. NCBI's taxonomy places the organism in Eukaryota, Metazoa, Chordata, Mammalia, Carnivora, Mustelidae. The record is from RefSeq and is a predicted model, not a curated record.
CGUUCGCGACUCGACAGCCGUGCUGGGGGCAUGCGCAGAGAGACCGUGGCUCCUGGUGGCGGCCCUGACGGGUCCUCGGACUUUGAUGGCAUUAGCUUUAAGUUUUCCUGCUGGUUUAGGGAAAGCGACUGGCAGUUUCCAGGAAAGGAGACAAGAGUCCGGCUCUGGAAGUGCGGGUUCGGAGACAGCGCUUCGGCCCGGGGAAUCCUCAGUCUGAAACUGGAGACUGCCCGAGCCGCGGGCGAACCGCCUCCGAGGUCUGAUCAGGCAACCCUUCAGGAGGUGGGAAACCGAGGCCCUGCCUCCGGAGCCCCCCUAAAGAUGACUCAAGACCAACCUUGGCUUGCUGUGCAAGAGGCCCUGAGGAAGUGCUUUCCCGUGGUGGAGGAGCAGCAGGGCCUGUGGCAGAGCACCCUGGGGGACUGCCAGCCCCUCCUGGCCUCUCUCAGCAACCUGGCCGAGCAGCUGCAGGCGGCACAGAAUCUGCGAUUUGAGGAUGUGCCUCCACUUCGAGCCUUCCCGGACUUAAAGGAACGGCUGAGGCGCAAGCAGCUGGCGGCUGGCGACACUGUCUUGGACAAGUUAGGGGAGAGGCUAGCCACCCUCCUCAAGGUGCGGGACACCGUCAGCAGGCACGUGGAGCAGGUGUUUGAGAUCUAUGAGCAGCACGCAGACUCGAUCAGCAUUGAUGCUGUCCUGCAGGCUUCGGUGCUGAGCCCGUCUGUGGCUGACAUGUUGGAGUGGUUGCAGGAUAUCGAGAGACAUUAUCGACAUUCAAGUUACCUAAAGAGAAAGUACCUCCUGUCUUCGGUCCAGUGGGGAGACUUGGCAAAUAUCCAAGCUUUGCCCGAGGCCUGGAACCAAAUUUCAGAAGAUGAACACCAAAGCCUUGUACAAGAUACCCUGUUGAAUGUUUCCUUCUUCCUGGAAGAGUAAGGAAGCCACGUGUUGAUCAGCAGACUAGGGGGACACAGUUGAAGACCGACAUUGGUGCUUUCUGUGUGGGCUGGCCUUACAGAUUUGCUUCUUUGAAGAGAAUAUUGCGGAAGUAGUGUGGUGUUACUUCUGAAACUAACUGAUAAAAAAGGACUGCAGCCUCCAGUGUGAGCCCAUCACUUACUGUCGGAUUCCUCACCCUCCAAGAAGUCAGCUGCAGGGCUCCAAGGCAGUCCUGAGGAGUGCUCACGUGAGAGACUGAAGUCAGCCAGCCACCAUGUGACUGAGCUUGGAAGCAGACCCCCAACUGUCCAUGCUCCUGCCCUCUUGAGCCUUCAGUUGAAACCACAGCCCCAGCUAACAGCUCAGCUACAACUUCAUGAGGACCUCAGACAAAGGCAACCAGCUAAGCUGUGUGCAGAUGCCUGACCCAUGGAAACAUAAUAAAUGUUUGUUUUCAGUUAUUAAGUUUUGGGGUGA